AUUGAACGCUGGCGGCAGGCCUAACACAUGCAAGUCGAGCGGAUGAAGGGAGCUUGCUCCUGGAUUCAGCGGCGGACGGGUGAGUAAUGCCUAGGAAUCUGCCUGGUAGUGGGGGAUAACGUCCGGAAACGGGCGCUAAUACCGCAUACGUCCUGAGGGAGAAAGUGGGGGAUCUUCGGACCUCACGCUUUCUGAUGAGCCUAGGUCGGAUUAGCUAGUUGGUGGGGUAAAGGCCUACCAAGGCGACGAUCCGUAACUGGUCUGAGAGGAUGAUCAGCCACACUGGAACUGAGACACGGUCCAGACUCCUACGGGAGGCAGCAGUGGGGAAUAUUGGACAAUGGGCGAAAGCCUGAUCCAGCCAUGCCGCGUGUGUGAAGAAGGUCUUCGGAUUGUAAAGCACUUUAAGUUGGGAGGAAGGGCAGUAAGUUAAUACCUUGCUGUUUUGACGUUACCAACAGAAUAAGCACCGGCUAACUUCGUG
This 484-nucleotide ribosomal RNA is filed under the name uncultured bacterium. RNAcentral describes it as "partial 16S ribosomal RNA". It matches the Rfam family "Bacterial small subunit ribosomal RNA", at positions 30 to 507 of the family's 1533-position model. The record is from RNAcentral.